UACGGAAGGUCCGGGCGUUAUCCGGAUUUAUUGGGUUUAAAGGGAGCGUAGGCCGUGGAUUAAGCGUGUUGUGAAAUGUAGACGCUCAACGUCUGACUUGCAGCGCGAACUGGUCCACUUGAGUGUGCACAACGCAGGCGGAAUUCGUCGUGUAGCGGUGAAAUGCUUAGAUAUGACGAAGAACCCCGAUUGCGAAGGCAGCUUGCGGGAGCACGACUGACGCUGAAGCUCGAAAGUGCGGGUAUCGAACAGG
RNAcentral lists this ribosomal RNA (253 nucleotides) under uncultured bacterium. RNAcentral's name for it is "partial 16S ribosomal RNA". It matches the Rfam family "Bacterial small subunit ribosomal RNA", at positions 524 to 776 of the family's 1533-position model. The record is from RNAcentral.